Molecule: ribosomal RNA, 701 nt
Filed under: uncultured soil bacterium
Lineage: Bacteria
Description: bacterial SSU rRNA
Rfam family: Bacterial small subunit ribosomal RNA
Source: RNAcentral
GUCGAGGGGCAGCACAGAUUGCUUGCAAUCUGGUGGCGACCGGCGCACGGGUGCGUAACGCGUAUACAAUCUACCUUAUAGAGGGGGAUAGCCCAGAGAAAUUUGGAUUAAUACCCCAUAGUAUUAUAGAAUAGCAUUAUUUUAUGAUUAAACAUUUAUGGCUAUAAGAUGAGUAUGCGUUCUAUUAGCUAGUAGGUAAGGUAACGGCUUACCUAGGCUACGAUAGAUAGGGGUCCUGAGAGGGAGAUCCCCCACACUGGUACUGAGACACGGACCAGACUCCUACGGGAGGCAGCAGUGAGGAAUAUUGGACAAUGGGCGAGAGCCUGAUCCAGCCAUGCCGCGUGCAGGAAGACGGCCCUAUGGGUUGUAAACUGCUUUUAUUCGGGAAGAAACACCUCUUCGUGAAGAGGCUUGACGGUACCGUAAGAAUAAGGAUCGGCUAACUCCGUGCCAGCAGCCGCGGUAAUACGGAGGAUCCAAGCGUUAUCCGGAAUCAUUGGGUUUAAAGGGUCCGUAGGCGGGACAAUAAGUCAGCGGUGAAAGUCUGUGGCUCAACCAUAGAAUUGCCAUUGAUACUGUUGUUCUUGAAUGUUUAUGAAGUGGUUAGAAUAUGUAGUGUAGCGGUGAAAUGCUUAGAUAUUACAUGGAAUACCGAUUGCGAAGGCAGAUCACUAAUAAAAUACUGACGCUGAUGGACG